This is a long non-coding RNA of Ictidomys tridecemlineatus (thirteen-lined ground squirrel), 2187 nucleotides long. RefSeq lists it as uncharacterized. NCBI's taxonomy places the organism in Eukaryota, Metazoa, Chordata, Mammalia, Rodentia, Sciuridae. The record is from RefSeq and is a predicted model, not a curated record.
AGGGCUGAACUGGAGCUUGAUGUCCCCCGCUCCUGGGUCCUCCAAGUCCCUCCCCGCCAACCUGAGCGUGCUAACUGGCUAGGCUCUGGGGACUGGACACCAGCAGAAGUGGGGCCACCUCAGGGCAACUGGAGCAGCGGCCACUGGCACUGGCAUGGCCCUCCCUGGGUGCUCGGUGUCGGCGUUUCUUUAUCACUCCUGGGCCGAACCCUCAUUCUGAGGCGUUCAGGGCCCUUCAUGGAGGAGGGUGUUGGGCAGCACACCUUGCUGCUGUCACUGAGUCCGCGAGGACCCUCAGAGACUCUGCGGCAGAUGCCCCUGCAGCCUCCCCUCCUGGAGUCUCUGGACCACCCAUGAGGCUGGGAGUGGGACACAGGCUUCUGGUGCAAGGAGCUGCCUCUUGGCUUCGUGCUAUUUCCACAGUGUCCACUUCGCGCUUUGCACGUAGCCCUUGCCGCCCUGCCCUGAGACUUGUUCUUUAAAUGGACGAUUCUUUCUCUUCCUCUCUCCCUGCUCCCCCCCAAUCUCCCCCUCUCCCUAAUCUCAGGGGAAACGGGAUCACCUGUCUUCCCCAUCCUAGGCAGAGGUCCCUGUCCCUGAGCACUCACCCACCACAGCAACAGAGUCAUCCAGACUUUGCAGAAUUCUCUCCUAGUUAACCAGUGAGUGUCAACUCCAGCAGAGGACACCUGGAAUUCUGCCUUUGAGUCACCUCUGAGAAAGCCCCCCGUCCCUGCUGAGGGGCAGAAUCCCAGCCCCAGGCACAGGAGUCCCCUGUGUUUCUCUUUUGCUAGUAAAGUAAUAAGCCUUCUUCUUCCCUUUUCUCAAAGCCGUGUCCUCCUUAAUGGAUUGACACUGGGGACAAGGACCAAGCUUUCGGCACUGUGGUUUAGAUGUGAGGUGUCCUCCAAAAGGUCAUGUGUGAGACAGUGUUCGGAGGUGAGCUGAUGGGUCGUGCGAGCCUGGGUGGCCGAACCCCGCCGGGGAUUAACUGGGCGGUAAAGCAGGCAGGUGGGGUGUGGCUGGAGGAAGUGGGUCACCAGGGGCAUGACUCUGCGGUUGGUUGGUGCUUUGUCCCUGGCUCCCAGCUCUGUCUCUCUGCGUCCUGACUGCCAAGAGCCACAGGCCUUUCCAUCCUGAAGUCCUGCCACACCUCCGGCCCCAGCUGUGCAGUCGGCCACCCGUGAACUAAGCCUCCGAAACCGUUAUUUCAUUACAGUGAUGAAAAGCUGGCUGAUACAACCGCCUUGGUAACUAAUGUCCCAGAGGAAAAAUAGCACCAGAUAACAGAAGCCUGUCAGGUGUAAGUGCUCACCAUUUUAUGUCGAUUAUUGGUUUUGUGACAAUUGAUCCAAACGAGAGGUCCAAAUCCUCCAAACGAGAAAUGAUUUGGAUCAAACGUGGUGAGUGCUGAGGCCCAUGUGCCAUUCCACUGAGCAGGGCUGGCCUGUCUCUGGAGCCCAUGACCUCACCAUCUUGUUACGUGGACAUUUUAAUUGGUAAAGAACUUGUCCCACUCUUAACAACAGGCGCCCUAAUCAGCCCAUGUGUUUGACGACCUGCUGCUGCAGAGCUCUCAGGACCUGCCUGGGCAAACCCCGGCUCAGCUGGAAUCUGCUGGACUUGGUCACCCUGCAGGGGACUUGAAUCGUGCCCGAUCAGAUCCUGGAAGACUAGUCACCGUCCCCUGCUAACUGUGCACCCACAGCCCCUGGGACUGAGAGUCACCGGCUGCUUCCAAACCGGUCUCUCCUUCCAGCUCCACCAGCAGCUCAGUCUUGUUACGAAACCAUAGAGCCACAAACGAGGUCCUUGUCCCCUCCAGGGACAUCCACUGUGGAGGACACCCCAGGCCACAUCCCAGACAACCCUGGCCAGCAACCUGGCCCGGGGAGAGUGAGGCCACCAGCCCAGCGGCCCCCCUGAGGCGCCCUCUCCUAGAGGAGCCGAGGAGUGGCACGCAGCAGGAGUGGCUUCUCUUCCGUGGCGACUGGGUAUGUGGUGACGGUUCUGAGUUUGCCGUUGGCUCAGUUCACGAGCCUCUUGAAUUCUUGAAUCUGCCAGAAUAUGUGCCCUUGGGAUUCCAGGCCUGAGGGAACCCUGUGGAUGUCACCACUGUCUAUGUACAGGGCCAGGACCUCCACUGCCACCUGUUUCCCUCGGUUACUAAUAAAGCACUAGACCAUC